CUCUGAAGGAGUUGUAUCUCUAUGGUGGCUCAUGAGGACAUGGAUUUAGUUCCAAUCACCUAUGUAUGAUGUCUUCCAACCACCUUUAACUCCAGACCCAGGGAAUCUGGUGCCAUCCUCUGGACUCUUCAAGAAUCUAUUAUUAUAGAAGACCACUGUAAACACCAAAACUUCGUGGCCAGGAAUGAUUCAACAUGCCAAGCACUUGUUACCAAAGCCUGAGGAUUGGAUCUCCAGUUUGGAUCUCCAGCACCCAUGUGAGACAGGCAAACAGGAGGCAAACAGGACACCCACAGUCCCAGCAAACAGGAGACAGAGACAGGAUCUCUGAAAGCAAGCUGGCUAGUUAGACUCAUCAAAGCAGCAAGCUCUGGCUUCAAAUGACAGACCCUACCUUAAUAUUUAAGGUGGGAAGAAAUCAAGGAAGACAUUUGUCAUCAACCUUUGGCCUCCACACACACAUACCUGUAAAUGCACACAGUACACACACACACACACACACACACACACACACACACACACCAGCAAAAAUUCAAAAGAGAUGGACUACAGUCCAGGAUACUUACCAGUCACUAGGAACAGAACACCAAAGCACCAUAUAUAGUGAGGCCACUGCAUAGAGAAUUGCAUGGGGCUGGACUUUAUCCUCAGACUCUGGAUUUCAGGGGAAUGAAGUAACAAGUUCAUGAAGUCCAUGUUAGAUGGGAUUCUCUUGAUAGAAGAUCUCGCUUGAAAUCCUCAACUUGAUUGAAGUCAGUACCCGAAGCUUUGGCCGGAGUGUCAGUUGAAAUGGAGCAAGUUGGAUCCAGUGCAUUUGAAGUAUACCAGCUGAUUGAGUUCAGCAGUUUUUUC
RNAcentral lists this long non-coding RNA (852 nucleotides) under Cricetulus griseus (Chinese hamster). RNAcentral describes it as "lncRNA (ENSCGRG00015037554.1)". The record is from RNAcentral. Lineage: Eukaryota; Metazoa; Chordata; Mammalia; Rodentia; Cricetidae.